Molecule: long non-coding RNA, 2424 nt
Organism: Electrophorus electricus (electric eel)
Lineage: Eukaryota; Metazoa; Chordata; Actinopteri; Gymnotiformes; Gymnotidae
Source: Ensembl
CUCAGGAACAAAACUCUCACUGUUAGGCAUGCCACUGCAGACUACACGGGAACAUAUAGGUGUAGUUACAAGAAUCAAACCAACCUGUACUCCCAGAUUCACAUCUAUGUUAAAGAUCCAGGCCAACCCUUCACUACUCCUCGGUCCAGCGUUGUAGUAGAGCGGGAAGGCUCGGACUGCCUGCUGGAUUGUAUGCCUACAGACCCUGGUGCCACAGACUUCUCCCUCUGCUUGGCCAACCGAUCCACUGUUCCUCUGGAGAUGAAGUAUACUGCCAAUCCCACAGAGGGCAUCUGGAUCCGAGACCUGCGCCCCCACUAUAGUGGCGACUAUGUCUGUACCGUGAAUCUAAACUCACUCCAGAGGGUGUCUGUAGUCUUCCAAAUCACCGUCAUCGAAAUGAAGCUCCCUCCCUCUGUGUUUACUGAAGUGGGGGAGUUGGUUCGCAUCGUUGGGGAAAGUCUGCAGAUCAGCUGCUAUGUCACAAAUCCAGACCAUUCCUACCAUGUCACAUGGCAGCAUUCAUCCAAGAAGGUAAAAUUAUUUCCUUACUCUGACUUACACCAGAACCCAGUUCUCAUCACGAGUGUUUUGACUCUCUGUGACGUCAGCAUGUCUGACAGUGGGAACCUGAGCUGUAUAGGCAACAACUCAGCAGGAGAGAACCGUUCCACAGUCUCUCUCAGAGUAGUAGAUAAACCGUACGCUCACCUGACGCCUGCGCAGACGUCCAGAGUUCUGCGGCAAGGUCUUGUGCGAGUGCUGCAGGAAGGAGAUCUGCUGAAGCUGGCGGUGUGUGUGGAUGCAUACCCUGCACUUCAGCACAGCUGGUGGGACACACCCAGAGCCCAGAACAAGUCCACUACAGAGCAAACCUUCUACAGGGUUCAGAAGAGUUACAGGUACAAUGCCUCCCUCUCACUGAAGAGGGUUCGAGCAGAUGAAGGGGGGUGGUACACCUUCAGUGUCAGGAGCAGCAGAGUAAACACUUCCAUCCGCUUUGAGGUCCACGUGCUUCGUAAGUCCACACCAUUUGCUACACACAGUUUCAGUAAUGCUGUUGUCUUAGAUAUUGGUACUACGAUGCCUGAACACUGGUUUUCAAGGAUAUACACGGCUAUCUUCAUCGGAAGCUCAAUGGUGACCACUCUCCUGGUACUGGUGCUGGGAGUUUGUAUCUGCAGGUGGAAACAGAAACCCAGAUAUGAAAUCAGAUGGAAAAUCAUAGAAGUUAAUGAUGGGAAUAAUUACACAUACAUUGACCCUUCUCAGCUUCCAUACAACACAAAGUGGGAAUUCCCCCGUGACAGGCUGAGAUUUGGACGGGUCCUGGGAGCAGGGGCCUUUGGGAAAGUUGUAGAGGCCACAACCUACGGUCUGGACGAUGAGGAACGUGUCACUCGCGUGGCCGUGAAAAUGCUUAAAUCGAGCGCUCAUGCAGAAGAACGUGAAGCCCUCAUGUCAGAGCUGAAGAUCCUGAGUCAUCUGGGGCCGCACGCCAACAUCGUGAACCUCCUUGGAGCAUGCACCCACGGAGGACCUGUGCUGCUUAUAACAGAGUACUGCUGUAACGGUGACCUGCUGAACUUCCUGCGGAGAAGAGCCCAGCUGUUUGUGGACUCACUUGUCCAGGCUCAACACUUCUCCCAGGCCUAUGCAAACCUGCCCGUCCAGGAGAACAGCACGAGACAGCUGGGUUUUACCGGUCUACUCUUCCUCUACAGCUAUCAGGACAUGCGUCCCGCAUGCAGACCCAAGGACGCCGCCGCAGGAUCCUGUAAUGGAGGAGGGAAUGGUUUAGACAUGGACUGUUUGCUGAGAUUUGCUGGUCAGGUGGCCCAAGGAAUGGAUUUCCUUGCAUCCAAAAAGUGUAUUCACAGGGAUCUGGCUGCGAGGAACGUCCUCGUGACUGACUGCUUUAUUGCCAAGAUCUGUGACUUUGGCCUUGCACGAGACAUCAUGAAUGACUCCAAUUACGUCGUGAGAGGAAAUGCCCGGCUGCCAGUUAAGUGGAUGUCUCCUGAGAGCAUAUUUGAGUGUGUCUACACUGUGCAGAGUGAUGUAUGGUCCUAUGGAAUCCUACUAUGGGAGAUCUUUUCUCUUGGUAGAAGUCCUUACCCAGAUGUGGUGGUUGACACACGAUUCUAUGAAAUGAUCAAAAGCGGAUAUCACAUGUCACAACCAGAUUUUGCCCCUAAAGAGAUGUACACCAUAAUGAAGCAAUGCUGGAGUCUGGAGCCAAACCUGCGGCCGCCCUUCAGCCGAGUCCUGCAGCUUAUCACAAAGCUCCAGCCAGAGAUGCAGGACUCCAACACUGACCAAGUAAGAUGGAUCACCCCUGAACAUGAAGACCUGUGUCACCAAACACCAUGCCAUGAAAACGCUCAGCUUCUAACAAAGCCAGAAUAUUACCAGCUGUGCUGA